Molecule: ribosomal RNA, 386 nt
Filed under: Calanus sp.
Lineage: Eukaryota; Metazoa; Arthropoda; Copepoda; Calanoida; Calanidae
Description: partial small subunit ribosomal RNA
Rfam family: Eukaryotic small subunit ribosomal RNA
Source: RNAcentral
UUCCAGCUCCAAUAGCGUAUAUUAAAGUUGUUGUGGUUAAAAAGCUCGUAGUUGGAUCUCGGCGGACUGAGGGCGGUUUGCUUGCUAGUAUUACUGCCCUAUAGUCCGUAGUUUUGCCAGAGGUUUCGAGGUGCUCUUAAUCGAGUGUCCCGGGAUGCUGGCAGGUUUACUUUGAAAAAAUUAGAGUGUUCAAAGCGGGCUUACGCUUGAAUAUAUUAGCAUGGAAUAACACUAUAGGACUCCUGUCCUAUCUCGUUGGUCUCGGGAUGGGAGUAAUGAUUAAGAGGAACAGUUGGGGGCAUUCGUAUUUCAUUGUCAGAGGUGAAAUUCUUGGAUUUAUGAAAGACGAACUUCUGCGAAAGCAUUUGUCAAGGAUGUUUUCAUUA